RNAcentral lists this transfer RNA (73 nucleotides) under Ailuropoda melanoleuca (giant panda). It matches the Rfam family "tRNA". Rfam says of the family: Transfer RNA (tRNA) molecules are approximately 80 nucleotides in length. Their secondary structure includes four short double-helical elements and three loops (D, anti-codon, and T loops). The record is from Rfam by way of RNAcentral. Lineage: Eukaryota; Metazoa; Chordata; Mammalia; Carnivora; Ursidae.
ACCUGUCUGGCUUAGUCAGAACAGCAUGUGACUCUUGAUCUCAGGGUUGUGAGUUCAAGCCCCACAUCGGGUA